GCCUGAUCCAGCAAUGCCGCGUGAGUGAAGAAGGCCUUCGGGUUGUAAAGCUCUUUUGUCAGGGAAGAAACGGCCUGUUCUAAUACAGUGGGCUAAUGACGGUACCUGAAGAAUAAGCACCGGCUAACUACGUGCCAGCAGCCGCGGUAAUACGUAGGGUGCAAGCGUUAAUCGGAAUUACUGGGCGUAAAGCGUGCGCAGGCGGUUUUGUAAGUUUGUCGUGAAAUCCCCGGGCUCAACCUGGGAAUGGCGAUGAAGACUGCAAGGCUAGAGUUUGGCAGAGGGGGGUAGAAUUCCACGUGUAGCAAUGAAAUGCGUAGAUAUGUGGAGGAACACCGAUGGCGAAGGCAGCCCCCUGGGUCAAAACUGACGCUCAUGCACGAAAGCGUGGGGAGCAAACAGGAUUAGAUACCCUGGUAGUCCACGCCCUAAACGAUGUCUACUAGUUGUCGGGUCUUAAUUGACUUGGUAACGCAGCUAACGCGUGAAGUAGACCGCCUGGGGAGUACGGUCGCAAGAUUAAAACUCAGAGGAAUUGACGGGGACCCGCACAAGCGGUGGAUGAUGUGGAUUAAUUCGAUGCAACGCGAAAAACCUUACCUACCCUUGACAUGGCUGGAAUCCCCGAGAGAUUG
This 635-nucleotide ribosomal RNA is filed under the name proteobacterium Se2Ps_2350. RNAcentral's name for it is "bacterial SSU rRNA". It matches the Rfam family "Bacterial small subunit ribosomal RNA", at positions 381 to 1009 of the family's 1533-position model. Lineage: Bacteria; Pseudomonadati; Pseudomonadota. The record is from RNAcentral.